GACGAACGCAGGCGGCGUGCUUAACACAUGCAAGUCGAACGGGCUCUGUCUGGCUGUGUGCUGGGUGGGGUUAGUGGCGAACGGGUGAGUAAUACGUGAGUAACCUGCCCUCUUCUUUGGGAUAAGCCUUGGAAACGGGGUCUAAUACUGGAUAUUCCUGUCUGGUCGCAUGGCUGGGUGGGGAAAGUUUUUUCGGUGGGGAUGGGCUCGCGGCCUAUCAGCUUGUUGGUGGGGUGAUGGCCUACCAAGGCGUCGACGGGUAGCCGGCCUGAGAGGGUGACCGGCCACACUGGGACUGAGAUACGGCCCAGACUCCUACGGGAGGCAGCAGUGGGGGAUAUUGCACAAUGGGCGCAAGCCUGAUGCAGCGACGCCGCGUGGGGGAUGACGGCUUUCGGGUUGUAAACCUCUUUCGUCGGGGGACAAGGCUCUGCUUGGUGGUGGGGUGAGG
Molecule: ribosomal RNA, 451 nt
Filed under: Actinobaculum sp. oral taxon 183
Lineage: Bacteria; Bacillati; Actinomycetota; Actinomycetes; Actinomycetales; Actinomycetaceae
Description: bacterial SSU rRNA
Rfam family: Bacterial small subunit ribosomal RNA
Source: RNAcentral